Molecule: ribosomal RNA, 505 nt
Filed under: uncultured Acidobacteriaceae bacterium
Lineage: Bacteria; Pseudomonadati; Acidobacteriota; Terriglobia; Terriglobales; Acidobacteriaceae
Description: bacterial SSU rRNA
Rfam family: Bacterial small subunit ribosomal RNA
Source: RNAcentral
AGAGUUUGAUCAUGGCUCAGGAUGAACGCUGGCGGCGUGCUUAACACAUGCAAGUCGAACGAAGCACUUAUCUUUGAUUCUUCGGAUGAAGAGGUUUGUGACUGAGUGGCGGACGGGUGAGUAACGCGUGGGUAACCUGCCUCAUACAGGGGGAUAACAGUUAGAAAUGACUGCUAAUACCGCAUAAGACCACGGAGCCGCAUGGCUCAGUGGGAAAAACUCCGGUGGUAUGAGAUGGACCCGCGUCUGAUUAGGUAGUUGGUGGGGUAACGGCCUACCAAGCCGACGAUCAGUAGCCGACCUGAGAGGGUGACCGGCCACAUUGGGACUGAGACACGGCCCAAACUCCUACGGGAGGCAGCAGUGGGGAAUAUUGCACAAUGGGGGAAACCCUGAUGCAGCGACGCCGCGUGAGCGAAGAAGUAUUUCGGUAUGUAAAGCUCUAUCAGCAGGGAAGAAAAUGACGGUACCUGACUAAGAAGCACCGGCUAAAUACGUGCCAGCA